GUGAAAUUGAACUCGCUGUGAAGAUGCAGUGUACCCGCGGCAAGACGGAAAGACCCCGUGAACCUUUACUAUAGCUUGACACUGAACAUUGAGCCUUGAUGUGUAGGAUAGGUGGGAGGCUUUGAAGCGUGGACGCCAGUCUGCGUGGAGCCGACCUUGAAAUACCACCCUUUAAUGUUUGAUGUUCUAACGUGGACCCGUUACCCGGGUUGCGGACAGUGUCUGGUGGGUAGUUUGACUGGGGCGGUCUCCUCCUAAAGAGUAACGGAGGAGCACGAAGGUUGGCUAAUCCUGGUCGGACAUCAGGAGGUUAGUGCAAUGGCAUAAGCCAGCUUGACUGCGAGCGUGACGGCGCGAGCAGGUGCGAAAGCAGGUCAUAGUGAUCCGGUGGUUCUGAAUGGAAGGGCCAUCGCUCAACGGAUAAAAGGUACUCCGGGGAUAACAGGCUGAUACCGCCCAAGAGUUCAUAUCGACGGCGGUGUUUGGCACCUCGAUGUCGGCUCAUCACAUCCUGGGGCUGAAGUAGGUCCCAAGGGUAUGGCUGUUCGCCAUUUAAAGUGGUACGCGAGCUGGGUUUAGAACGUCGUGAGACAGUUCGGUCCCUAUCUGCCGUGGGCGCUGGAGAACUGAGGGGGGCUGCUCCUAGUACGAGAGGACCGGAGUGGACGCAUCACUGGUGUUCGGGUUGUCAUGCCAAUGGCACUGCCCGGUAGCUAAAUGCGGAAGAGAUAAGUGCUGAAAGCAUCUAAGCACGAAACUUGCCCCGA
This 767-nucleotide ribosomal RNA is filed under the name Salmonella enterica. RNAcentral's name for it is "partial 23S ribosomal RNA". It matches the Rfam family "Bacterial large subunit ribosomal RNA", at positions 2036 to 2802 of the family's 2925-position model. RNAcentral also lists the same sequence under 1 other name. The record is from RNAcentral. Lineage: Bacteria; Pseudomonadati; Pseudomonadota; Gammaproteobacteria; Enterobacterales; Enterobacteriaceae.